RNAcentral lists this ribosomal RNA (253 nucleotides) under uncultured bacterium. RNAcentral's name for it is "partial 16S ribosomal RNA". It matches the Rfam family "Bacterial small subunit ribosomal RNA", at positions 524 to 776 of the family's 1533-position model. The record is from RNAcentral.
UACGUAGGGUGCAGGCGUUAAUCGGAAUUACUGGGCGUAAAGCGUGCGCAGGCGGUCUUUUAAGUCAGAUGUGAAAUCCCCGGGCUUAACCUGGGAACUGCGUUUGAAACUGGAAGGCUAGAGUGUGGCAGAGGGGGGUGGAAUUCCACGUGUAGCAGUGAAAUGCGUAGAGAUGUGGAGGAACACCAGUGGCGAAGGCGACUCUUUGGUCUGUAACUGACGCUGAGGCGCGAAAGCGUGGGGAGCAAACAGG